Molecule: long non-coding RNA, 695 nt
Filed under: Coturnix japonica (Japanese quail)
Lineage: Eukaryota; Metazoa; Chordata; Aves; Galliformes; Phasianidae
Description: lncRNA (ENSCJPG00005000399.1)
Source: RNAcentral
GGAAAUCUGUCCCAGGAGGGAGGGAGGAGACAGUCUGUCUGUUCCUGGCCUUGCUUUUGUUUUAUUUAUGCCCUAAUUUUAUUUUCAGAUGAUUCAUUUGAUUUAUUUCACUGCUUUUAAUGUUUCUUUUCUGUUCUGAACUUGAAUGGUACUGUGAAAUAGUCUAAUAUUAAAUUAUGGCGAUUCUGCAUUUUAAAAUGGGCUCGGUGGGGUGGAAGAACACAUGUGAAGCUCAGAGACAUCGUGUUUUAUGUUGGAAAGCUGAAGCUGUCCCUUUGAAUCCUGGCUCAUUAGCAGACCUCACCAACAGCAGAUGACACUUCAGCUAACCUGAGAGUCAGUCUGGAGGCAGUGCAGGAGCCAUCAGGACCACGCCAUGCACUGAGUAAUUUCCCUUUCAGAAAGCUUUAACAACAGCCCUCUGCCUCUGGACCCCACUCAGGCACCUGCUGUUCUGCUUGGUCUGUACCAGCCUGUUUCCAUCUCUACCAGAUUCUGCCCACUGUUGCCAAGCAUGGAGCACCUCGAAGGAGGCCAGGAGAGGAGUAAGAUCUGCUCACCAGGCGUGCAAGAAAGGAGCAGAGUUGAGGUAUGGCCCCAUUGAAACAGCACGUGAUGUGGCUACCUGGCAGCAGUGGUUUUCACUCUACAGAGAAACAACCAAAGCAGUUCCCAAUAUUUAAUUUUGAACUCAU